RNAcentral lists this ribosomal RNA (468 nucleotides) under uncultured bacterium. RNAcentral describes it as "partial 16S ribosomal RNA". It matches the Rfam family "Bacterial small subunit ribosomal RNA", at positions 28 to 507 of the family's 1533-position model. The record is from RNAcentral.
GACGAACGCUGGCGGCGUGCUUAACACAUGCAAGUCGAACGGAAAGGCCCUGCUUUUGUGGGGUGCUCGAGUUGCGAACGGGUGAGUAACACGUGAGUAACCUGCCCUUGACUUUGGGAUAACUUCUGGAAACUGGGGCUAAUACCGGAUAGGAGCUCCUGCUGCAUGGUGGUGGUUGGAAAGUUUCGGCGGUUGGGGAUUGACGCGCGACUUAUCAGCUUGUUGGUGGGGUAGUGGCUUACCAAGGCUUUGACGGGUAGCCGGCCUGAGUGCGUCACCGGCCACAUUGGGACUGAGAUGAGGCCAAGAGUCUUACAGGUGCCAAUGGUGAGGAAUAUUCUGCAAUAGGACGAGGCUUGUUCCAGCAGCGUUGCGUGCGUGAUAACGGCCUUCGGGGUGUAAACCGCUUUCACCUGUCACGAAGCGUGAGUGACGGUAAUAUGUAAAGAAGCACCGGCUAACUACGUU